Molecule: ribosomal RNA, 443 nt
Filed under: uncultured bacterium
Lineage: Bacteria
Description: partial 16S ribosomal RNA
Rfam family: Bacterial small subunit ribosomal RNA
Source: RNAcentral
CCUACGGGAGGCAGCAGUGGGGAAUAUUGCACAAUGGGCGAAAGCCUGAUGCAGCAACGCCGCGUGAAGGAAGACGGUUUUCGGAUUGUAAACUUCUAUCAAUAGGGAAGAAAGAAAUGACGGUACCUAAAUAAGAAGCCCCGGCUAACUACGUGCCAGCAGCCGCGGUAAUACGUAGGGGGCAAGCGUUAUCCGGAAUUACUGGGUGUAAAGGGAGAGUAGGCGGCAAGGUAAGCGAUAUGUGAAAGCCUUAAGCUUAACUAAAGGAUUGCAUAACGAACUAUUAGACUAGAGUGCAGGAGGGGUAAGUGGAAUUCCUAGUGUAGCGGUGGAAUGCGUAGAUAUUAGGAGGAACAUCAGGGGCGAAGGCGACUUACUGGACUGUAACUGACACUGAGGCACGAAAGCGUGGGGAGCAAACAGGAUUAGAUACCCCUGUAGUC